RNAcentral lists this ribosomal RNA (454 nucleotides) under uncultured Pirellulaceae bacterium. RNAcentral's name for it is "bacterial SSU rRNA". It matches the Rfam family "Bacterial small subunit ribosomal RNA", at positions 342 to 791 of the family's 1533-position model. Lineage: Bacteria; Pseudomonadati; Planctomycetota; Planctomycetia; Pirellulales; Pirellulaceae. The record is from RNAcentral.
CGGGGGGCAGCAGUCGAGGAUCUUCGGCAAUGGGCGAAAGCCUGACCGAGCGACGCCGCGUGUGGGAUGAAGGCCCUCGGGUUGUAAACCACUGUCAACGGGGAGGAAAUACAGAAGGGCUAUCCCUUUUGUUUGACCUAUCUGUGGAGGAAGUACGGGCUAAGUUCGUGCCAGCAGCCGCGGUAAGACGAACCGUACAAACGUUAUUCGGAAUUACUGGGCUUAAAGGGUGCGUAGGCGGCGCGGACAGUUGGGUGUGAAAGCCCUCGGCUCAACCGAGGAAUUGCGCUCAAAACUACCGUGCUCGAGGGAGACAGAGGUAAGCGGAACUCAAGGUGGAGCGGUGAAAUGCGUUGAUAUCUUGAGGAACACCGGUGGCGAAGGCGGCUUACUGGGUCUUUUCUGACGCUGAGGCACGAAAGCCAAGGUAGCAAACGGGAUUAGAUACCCGAGU